Molecule: long non-coding RNA, 1026 nt
Filed under: Piliocolobus tephrosceles (Ugandan red Colobus)
Lineage: Eukaryota; Metazoa; Chordata; Mammalia; Primates; Cercopithecidae
Description: lncRNA (ENSPTEG00000035539.1)
Source: RNAcentral
AUGGGGCUGCUGGAGGAUUCAGUGGGAACUCAUGUGCCACCUAGCACAGAGGCCUUGGCUUUGAGCAGAGGCCUGGCCUUGACCUCACACUUAUUCACACCCAGCCCUGCCUGGAGCCACACUCCAGCCAGGCCUGGAGCCUGGGGAAGAAUCUGCUUACUGGGGGACCCUGUGGAACUGGACAGAGAGAAAGAGGGGCCGGCUGGCAGUGACGGUGGGAUGAGGAAGGGGCUCUCCCAGGAUGGAAGAAUGGAGGGAACUCAUGGCCGAGGAUUUGCCAACCAUGUGGGAAGCCUUCAAGGGCAGAAGACACAGUGGUGGAGCAGGAAAUGCUCUGAUCUCAGAACAGGGACGGGGAGGAUCUCCCCGCAGGGCCCAGCUGUGUCUCUGGGGCUUUCACCACUCCAGAACCUCCACUGCCCAAGCCAGCCUCCAGGCAGACAGAAGCUGCCGCCUCUCCUGGGACAGGCAGGGUGUCAGCGGGAGAAACUCCAGCCCCAUGACUCCAGCCCCCUCACCAUUUACACUGCCCUGCCCAGCAGCUUUGGCCCCUUCCCAGGCAGAUGGAGUGGGCUGGGCAGGAGGAGCACCCACCCCUCACCUCCACACCUUUCAGGCCCAUGCCCAUCCUGUCCACACCAAACAACCGUGGAUUUGGUGAGGGGACCAAAAGAGCCUCCAUCUAACUCAUUUUCAGGAAAGGCUCAAAGCCAUCAUCCCCAGGCCCCAGAGAGCUCCAGGCCAGAAGCCCUCUGGGAGGCGGUCCUUAAGGCCAUUGGGAUCCACCUGCCAUCCCCAGAGACCGUGAAGAGGAGGGAGAACUGGGGCCCUGGGAAUAGACCCUUGAGCCGCAGCAUGGCAGGUCUCCUGGUACCACUUUGCCCAGAAGUUCACCAAGCCAAACAUUGCCCAGGCGUGGGCCAGUUGUCAUGGGGACUUGGCUUAACUGUCUUGGGGGAAAAAGCAGGAAAAACCCAUUCAGCAGGCCAUGGGGUGAGUUCUAGAGUUUGCACUCUAGAGGCAUAA